UUUCGAACAGGGUUGAGGAAGAAGAGAGGAUAUCACUUUCCCCCCUAUCAAGUUUAUCUUCAUUUAUGGGUUGCAGGUCCCUGUGUCCCUCCCCCUCCUCGAUCCCCCUGUGUGCGAGUCCCUCAUCUCAGCUUUGGUUGCUGUGCAGAUGGCUCUUUGUUGGUGCUUCACAAUGGGUCUAAGGCAAAGUGCAAAGUACAUCUGAUGGGCACUACAAGGUUCAGCAGCAGUGGGCCGUGAUGUCUUAAGGCCAGUUUGCAGCAGGAAGGAGCAGGUAGACUGAAAGGCGGGAAACUAGGAGGAGGAGGAGCAUUUCUUGCAAAGCAGAAGGAAUUACUGGAAAUUUCCACUUCUCUGGCAAGAGAGUUGCAGGGGUGGAGCUAUAAGAGGUAAAAUAAAAAAAGGUAGCACAGUUGAACUUAGGCAGUGCAGAGGGAAAACGUUCUGGUGUGUUUACGUGGGC
Molecule: long non-coding RNA, 463 nt
Filed under: Cottoperca gobio
Lineage: Eukaryota; Metazoa; Chordata; Actinopteri; Perciformes; Bovichtidae
Description: lncRNA (ENSCGOG00000000374.1)
Source: RNAcentral